Molecule: ribosomal RNA, 1458 nt
Filed under: Triticum aestivum (bread wheat)
Lineage: Eukaryota; Viridiplantae; Streptophyta; Magnoliopsida; Poales; Poaceae
Description: partial small subunit ribosomal RNA
Source: RNAcentral
AUGGCGGCCGGCUACCGCUUCGCGCUCGGCCCGGACGUCGGCCUGGGCGGCCACCCCAGCGGCCUGGAGGUCAAUAUGAACGGCUUCAUGUACAAUAGGACAGCAAACGGCACUGGCAUUGGUUGGGGACAGGGCCUGGUGCACCCUGCUCAUGCUCACCCCGAGCCCUUCAUGCUUCCUGGGCAGGCUGCCCCAGAACAGCACAACUGGGGGUUUGUUGGGACUGGUCCGAUUGCCCUCGACCCCCGUGGUGGAGCAGGCCGUUCACCCAAAUUGCACUGCGAGUACGGCGUGCCUGUGCACACCGGCAAUCGCUACAUGAAAGGUGGCAUGAAUAAUCAGAUGGAGGCGUUUCGCCGCGAGGACGGUCAGAAUUUUGAUGGCAAGAAGAACAUGCCUGUUCUCUACCGUGCCAAGGACAGGAGGUUUCAGCAGCAUGCCAACAACAACAGGGCACUGGAGCUGGAGAGUCCUCGGAUGCUGAGGUAUGAGAACAUGGUUGGAGUUAAGGGGUACAUCUACUUCAUGGCCAAGGACCAGAAUGGCUGCCGGUUCUUGCAGCAGAAGUUCGAGGAAGGGAAGCAACACGUGGAUGUGAUUUUUGAAGGAAUCAUUGACCACAUGGCAGAGCUCAUGAUCAACUCGUUUGCCAACUAUCUCAUUCAGAAGCUUCUUGAUGUGUGUGAUGAGGAUCAGAGGCUGAGGAUCAUUGCCGUGCUGACGGAGGACCCUGUGAAGCUGCUGAGAAUCUCUGUGAACUCUCAUGGGACAAGGGCAGUUCAGAAAUUGAUAGAGACUCUUAAGGUCAGGAAGCAGAUAGUGCUCAUUAUUUCGGCCCUACAACCAGGCUUCAUGCAUCUUGUCAAUGAUCUCAAUGGUAAUCAUGUCAUACAGAAGUGCUUGUCAAACUUUGGUGCAGAGGAGAACAAGUUCAUAUUUGAGGCUGCUGCAACUCACUGUUUUGAAAUGGCAAUACAUCGCCAUGGCUGCUGUGUUUUACAAAAGUGCAUAACUAGUGCACGUGGUGAAUAUCAGGCGAAGCUAAUUGUGGAAGUGUGUGCUCAUGCCUUUCAGCUCGCUCAAGAUCCAUUUGGCAAUUAUGUGGUACAGUAUGUCCUGGACCAGAAAAUUCCUUCUGCAAAUGCACACCUGGCAUCUCAGUUUGAAGGAAGUUAUGUUUAUCUCUCAAAGCAAAAAGUGAGCAGCAAUGUGGUUGAGAAAUGCCUGAAGGUCUUCUCAGAUGAAGACAAAGCUGCCAUAGUGUUUGACUUGAUUUCAGUGCCUCAUUUUGAACAACUGCUGCAAGACCCUUUUGCGAACUAUGUCAUUCAUACUGCCCUUGUUAACAGCAGGGGCCAUCUCCAUAAUGCCCUGGUUGAAGCAAUCCGCCCUCAUGAAGAAGCCCUUCGGACCAGUCCCUGUUGUAAGAGAAUCUCUAGAGCCAUCUCUAGGAGGUGA